UACCAGGCCAGGGUCUAGGUAUAAGCACUAUACUGUGAAACUGCGAAUGGCUCAUUAAAUCAGUUAUCGUUUAUUUGAUAGUACCUUACUACUUGGAUAACCGUGGUAAUUCUAGAGCUAAUACAUGCUAAAAACCUCGACUUCGGAAGGGGUGUAUUUAUUAGAUAAAAAACCAAUGCCCUUCGGGGCUCCUUGGUGAUUCAUAAUAACUUAUCGAAUCGCAUGGCCUUGUGCCGGCGAUGGUUCAUUCAAAUUUCUGCCCUAUCAACUUUCGAUGGUAGGAUAGUGGCCUACCAUGGUUUCAACGGGUAACGGGGAAUUAGGGUUCUAUUCCGGAGAGGGAGCCUGAGACACGGCUACCACAUCCAAGGAAGGCAGCAGGCGCGCAAAUUACCCAAUCCCGACGCGGGGAGGUAGUGACAAUAAAUACUGAUACAGGACUCUUUUGGGUCUUGUAAUUGGAAUGAGUACAAUUUAAAUCCCUUAACGAGGAACAAUUGGAGGGCAAGUCUGGUGCCAGCAGCCGCGGUAAUUCCAGCUCCAAUAGCGUAUAUUAAAGUUGUUGCAGUUAAAAAGCUCGUAGUUGAACCUUGGGCCUGGCUGGCCGGUCCGCCUCACCGCGUGCACUGGUCCGGCCGGGCCUUUCCUUCUGGGGAGCCGCAUGCCCUUCACUGGGUGUGUCGGGGAACCAGGACUUUUACUUUGAAAAAAUUAGAGUGUUCAAAGCAGGCCUAUGCUCGAAUACAUUAGCAUGGAAUAAUAGAAUAGGACGUGUGGUUCUAUUUUGUUGGUUUCUAGGACCGCCGUAAUGAUUAAUAGGGAUAGUCGGGGGCAUCAGUAUUCAAUUGUCAGAGGUGAAAUUCUUGGAUUUAUUGAAGACUAACUACUGCGAAAGCAUUUGCCAAGGAUGUUUUCAUUAAUCAGUGAACGAAAGUUAGGGGAUCGAAGACGAUCAGAUACCGUCGUAGUCUUAACCAUAAACUAUGCCGACUAGGGAUCGGGCGAUGUUAUUUUUUUGACUCGCUCGGCACCUUACGAGAAAUCAAAGUCUUUGGGUUCUGGGGGGAGUAUGUCGCAGCUGAAACUUAAAGAAAUUGACGAGGGCACCACAAUGGAGUGGAGCCUGCGCUUAUUUGACU
Molecule: ribosomal RNA, 1139 nt
Filed under: Scytalidium auricola (nom. inval.)
Lineage: Eukaryota; Fungi; Ascomycota; Leotiomycetes
Description: SSU rRNA
Rfam family: Eukaryotic small subunit ribosomal RNA
Source: RNAcentral